RNAcentral lists this ribosomal RNA (457 nucleotides) under uncultured bacterium. Its description in RNAcentral is "bacterial SSU rRNA". It matches the Rfam family "Bacterial small subunit ribosomal RNA", at positions 343 to 797 of the family's 1533-position model. The record is from RNAcentral.
UGGAGGCAGCAGUGAGGAAUAUUGGACAAUGGGCGCAAGCCUGAUCCAGCCAUGCCGCGUGCAGGAUGAAGCAUCUAUGGUGUGUAAACUGCUUUUAUACAGGAAGAAACCUCCCGACGUGUCGGGAAUUGACGGUACUGUAAGAAUAAGGAUCGGCUAACUCCGUGCCAGCAGCCGCGGUAAUACGGAGGAUCCAAGCGUUAUCCGGAAUCAUUGGGUUUAAAGGGUCCGUAGGCGGGCCAGUAAGUCAGUGGUGAAAUCUCUCCGCUCAACGGGGAAAUGGCCAUUGAUACUGCUGGUCUUGAAUUAUUAGGAAGUAACUAGAAUAUGUAGUGUAGCGGUGAAAUGCUUAGAGAUUACAUGGAAUACCAAUUGCGAAGGCAGGUUACUACUAAUGGAUUGACGCUGAUGGACGAAAGCGUGGGUAGCGAACAGGAUUAGAAACCCCGGUAGUCCC